UGGGGAAUAUUGCACAAUGGGCGCAAGCCUGAUGCAGCCAUGCCGCGUGUGUGAAGAAUGCCUUCGGGUUGUAAAGCACUUUCAGCGGGGAGGAAGGCGUUAAGGUUAAUAACCUUGGCGAUUGACGUUACACGCAGAAGAAGCAUUGGCUAACUCUGUGCCAGCAGCCGCGGUAAUACGGAGGGUGCAAGCGUUAAUCGGAAUUACUGGGCGUAAAGCGCACGCAGGCGGUCUGUCAAGUCGGAUGUGAACUCCCCGUGCUCAACCUGGGAACUGUAUUCGAAACUGGCAGGCUAGAGUCUUGUAGAGGGGGGUAGAAUACCAGGUGUAGCGGUGAAAUGCGUAGAGAUCUGGAGGAGUACCGGUGUCGAAGGCGGCCCGCUGGACAAAGACUGACGCUCGGGUGCGAAAGCGUGGGGAGCAAACAGG
This 429-nucleotide ribosomal RNA is filed under the name Chloroflexota bacterium. RNAcentral's name for it is "Chloroflexi bacterium partial 16S ribosomal RNA". It matches the Rfam family "Bacterial small subunit ribosomal RNA", at positions 355 to 776 of the family's 1533-position model. Lineage: Bacteria; Bacillati; Chloroflexota. The record is from RNAcentral.